Molecule: long non-coding RNA, 455 nt
Filed under: Phoenix dactylifera (date palm)
Lineage: Eukaryota; Viridiplantae; Streptophyta; Magnoliopsida; Arecales; Arecaceae
Description: long non-coding RNA (PDAC_LNC011265)
Source: RNAcentral
AGCUUAAUCUGGGCUUAAUAUCCUAUUAUGGCAUGAAAUCCCCUAUUUUCCCACUCGGAUGAACAGUAACCCGGACCGACAGCCGGUUACUUCAUCCUGGGUUUGAUCCACUUUCCAGACUUCAAAUUUGAUGAAAUUUUUACCUAACAUUCUACACUCAUAGGGAAUUCCAAAAAGGUAACAUGCAUCACUAUCGGAGGCCGUUUGAUCCCCUAAAUAAUUUGCCAAAGUUGGGACUUUGACACGAUUUUUCCGUAGUGCCGGAAAAAUUUGUCGAAAUCCGAUUCUUCCCCUUUUAACACCCUUUACAACUAUCAUCUACCCUUUCUAUAGCAUAAAUUUUUUAGAUUACUAGGUAGGGAUGGGUAUUUACCUUUUUCUUCUUGUGAAACUUGGGUCCUUGCGUAGAAGGGAAGGAGAUCUACACUUUUCCCUUCAGCUGGCAGCGCAACCGG